GAUGAAUGCUGGCGGCGUGCCUAACACAUGCAAGUCGAGCGGUAACAGGUCUAGUUUACUAGAUGCUGACGAGCGGCGGACGGCUGAGUAACGCGUGGGAACGUGCCCCAAAGUGAGGAAUAACUGCCCGAAAGGGUAGCUAAUGCCGCAUAUGAUCUUCGGAUUAAAGGAUUUAUCCGCUUUGGGAGCGGCCCGCGUUAGAUUAGGUAGUUGGUGAGGUAAUAGCUCACCAAGCCUACGAUCUAUAGCUGGUCUGAGAGGAUGAUCAGCCAGACUGGGACUGAGACACGGCCCAG
Molecule: ribosomal RNA, 296 nt
Filed under: uncultured bacterium
Lineage: Bacteria
Description: partial 16S ribosomal RNA
Rfam family: Bacterial small subunit ribosomal RNA
Source: RNAcentral